This is a non-coding RNA of Ictidomys tridecemlineatus (thirteen-lined ground squirrel), 72 nucleotides long. NCBI's taxonomy places the organism in Eukaryota, Metazoa, Chordata, Mammalia, Rodentia, Sciuridae. The record is from Rfam.
UGGGUUGUGGCUCAGUGGUAGGGCGCUUGCCUAUCACAUGCAAGGCCCUGGGUUCGAUUCUCAGCACCACAU